Gossypium raimondii (Peruvian cotton) is the source of this 1126-nucleotide long non-coding RNA. RefSeq lists it as uncharacterized. The record is from RefSeq and is a predicted model, not a curated record. The transcript has 3 exons. NCBI's taxonomy places the organism in Eukaryota, Viridiplantae, Streptophyta, Magnoliopsida, Malvales, Malvaceae.
UGUGUCUGAUUCAAGUCUUAUUUGUUCUAUUGAAUGCUUUCUACUGACAUUCAUGUGUGUCUUAUAUGGUUCUCUUAUAUUAUGAUAUUGCAUGUGGUGAUGUGGUUACAGUGCAGUUAAAGCACACUAGUUCUUAACAGAGGAAAGCUGGGAUACUUUUAAAAAGAUUUUUGAUACCAACAUGCUUGAAGCGUCGAAGGUAUUGGCAUAAGUAUUCAUUUAUUCUCUUGACAUUGGAUAUCAAAAGAUUAUUGGGCACAUUUGUGAGAGAAGGAAUAUGCAUUUCCUCUAAUAUUAACUUGCAGUUACUCUUGUUGCACUAUCCUAUCUCCUGUUCUUGUGGUAUUUAUGCUGGUUAUGAAUAUAACUUAAGUGAUUUUAGUCUAAAAUUUGCAUGUUCAUCAGUUUUUUUGGGAGUUAAUCAAACUCAUGAAACUUUGGGCCAAUGGUGUGUUGUGUUCAUGUCAUUCGGGGUGAAAGAGAUGGAUUUGGGGGAAGAUGUUGAUGCUGUUGAUGGUGGUUUGUAGUAUGUGAGAAGAGCGAUUACUAGUUUUCAUUCAAUUGUGGUAUGUUUUAUCCUUAAAUAAGUCACUGUGCCUGGCAUUUAAGUUUCCUGCUUUACAUCAUUGACAGGAAUGGAUCGAGGCAUAUGGGGGCAGUUUACUCCUCAAAAUGAUUUAUAAGGCUCUAGAUUAGGUUGUGAAACUCUCGGAGUGCGAAAUUUAUAGUUAUAAUCCAGACUCUGAUGCAGAUCCCUUUCUGGAGAAAUGAUCAAUAGACUAGUUCAGCAUCAGCCAACACAGUACCCAACAUUGGAAGAACUAAGCAUAGGAAUGAUCAAAUUCAAGGCCUUUGAUUUGGGUUGUCAUCAGAUUGCUCGUAGGGUUUGGAAGGACUAUUACGCCAAGGUAUUUGCAUUUAUGUAUGUGUGUAUAUAUAUUUUUUCAAUAAGAAACCAACUAAAAAAUUCAAGUAUUAAUCAAUUGUUAUCACCAGUUUAAUAAGAAACAUGUUAAUUGAUGGUUAGAUGGUGAAAAGACUCAAAAGACAGCAAAAUUUUGCCCAUAUACAUAUUUGCUUGGUUGUAUGCCCAUAUUUUUGCUGUAAUUUUGUGAUGAGAGAAUUU